This 440-nucleotide ribosomal RNA is filed under the name uncultured bacterium. RNAcentral's name for it is "partial 16S ribosomal RNA". It matches the Rfam family "Bacterial small subunit ribosomal RNA", at positions 338 to 795 of the family's 1533-position model. The record is from RNAcentral.
CCUACGGGAGACAGCAGUGGGGAAUAUUGCACAAUGGGGGAAACCCUGAUGCAGCGACGCCGCGUGAGUGAAGAAGUAUUUCGGUAUGUAAAGCUCUAUCAGCAGGGAAGAAAAUGACGGUACCUGACUAAGAAGCCCCGGCUAACUACGUGCCAGCAGCCGCGGUAAUACGUAGGGGGCAAGCGUUAUCCGGAUUUACUGGGUGUAAAGGGAGCGUAGACGGCAGCGCAAGUCUGAAGUGAAAUCCCAUGGCUUAACCAUGGAACUGCUUUGGAAACUGUGCAGCUGGAGUGCAGGAGAGGUAAGCGGAAUUCCUAGUGUAGCGGUGAAAUGCGUAGAUAUUAGGAGGAACACCAGUGGCGAAAGCGGCUCUCUGGUCUGUAACUGACGCUGAGGUUCGAAAGCGUGGGUAGCAAACAGGAUUAGAUACCCGUGUAGUC